GACGAACGCUGGCGGCGUGCUUAACACAUGCAAGUCGAACGGAAAGGCCCUGCUUUUGUGGGGUGCUCGAGUGGCGAACGGGUGAGUAACACGUGAGUAACCUGCCCUUGACUUUGGGAUAACUUCAGGAAACUGGGGCUAAUACCGGAUAGGAGCUCCUGCUGCAUGGUGGGGGUUGGAAAGUUUCGGCGGUUGGGGAUGGACUCGCGGCUUAUCAGCUUGUUGGUGGGGUAGUGGCUUACCAAGGCUUUGACGGGUAGCCGGCCUGAGAGGGUGACCGGCCACAUUGGGACUGAGAUACGGCCCAGACUCCUACGGGAGGCAGCAGUGGGGAAUAUUGCACAAUGGGCGGAAGCCUGAUGCAGCAACGCCGCGUGAGGGAUGAAGGCCUUCGGGUUGUAAACCGCUUUCGCCUGUGACGAAGCGUGAGUGACGGUAAUGGGUAAAGAAGCACCGGCUAACUACGUG
RNAcentral lists this ribosomal RNA (468 nucleotides) under uncultured bacterium. RNAcentral describes it as "partial 16S ribosomal RNA". It matches the Rfam family "Bacterial small subunit ribosomal RNA", at positions 28 to 507 of the family's 1533-position model. The record is from RNAcentral.